RNAcentral lists this ribosomal RNA (119 nucleotides) under Betta splendens (Siamese fighting fish). Lineage: Eukaryota; Metazoa; Chordata; Actinopteri; Anabantiformes; Osphronemidae. The record is from RNAcentral.
GCUUACGGCCAUACCACCCUGAGCAUGCCCGAUCUCGUCUGAUCUCGGAAGCUAAGCAGGGUCGGGCCUGGUUAGUACUUGGAUGGGAGACCGCCUGGGAAUACCAGGUGCUCUAAGCG